UACGAAGGGGGCUAGCGUUGCUCGGAAUCACUGGGCGUAAAGCGCACGUAGGCGGAUUGCUAAGUCAGGGGUGAAAUCCUGGAGCUCAACUCCAGAACUGCCUUUGAUACUGGUGAUCUUGAGUCCGGCAGAGGAAAGUGGAAUUCCCAGUGUAGCGGUGAAAUGCGUAGAUAUUGGGAGGAACACCAGUGGCGAAAGCGACUUUCUGGGCCAUUCCUGACGCUGAGGUACGAAAGCGUGGGGAGCAAACAGG
This 253-nucleotide ribosomal RNA is filed under the name uncultured bacterium. RNAcentral's name for it is "partial 16S ribosomal RNA". It matches the Rfam family "Bacterial small subunit ribosomal RNA", at positions 524 to 776 of the family's 1533-position model. The record is from RNAcentral.